Molecule: ribosomal RNA, 490 nt
Filed under: Acremonium sp. EXP0456F
Lineage: Eukaryota; Fungi; Ascomycota; Sordariomycetes; Hypocreales; Bionectriaceae
Description: eukaryotic LSU rRNA
Rfam family: 5.8S ribosomal RNA (bases 177-330)
Source: RNAcentral
GGAUCAUUACAGAGUUCAUGCCCUAACGGGUAGAUCUCCCACCCUGUGUUAUUAUUACUUUGUUGCUUUGGCGGGCCGUCAGGCUCACGCCUGCCACCGGCUCCGGCUGGUGUGAGCCCGCCAGAGGACCCAAAACCCUGAAUAUUAGUGUCGUCUGAGUACUAUAUAAUAGUUAAAACUUUCAACAACGGAUCUCUUGGUUCUGGCAUCGAUGAAGAACGCAGCGAAAUGCGAUAAGUAAUGUGAAUUGCAGAAUUCAGUGAAUCAUCGAAUCUUUGAACGCACAUUGCGCCCCUUGGUAUUCCGGGGGGCAUGCCUGUUCGAGCGUCAUUACACCCCUCAAGCCUGGCUUGGUACUGGGCUUCGCCGUUUUCUCGGCGGGCCUUAAAAUCAGUGGCGGUGCCUCCGUGGCCCUAAGCGUAGUAAACAUCCUCGCUUCUGGACCCGGUGGCUACUGGCCAGUAACCCCCAACUUUCUAAGUUUGACCUC